UAUUUGCAGCUUUGUGAACUUGUAGAAGAUGAAAGGGUUGAUAUAACAAGUACUGUAAUAGAUGAAGAUGCUCCCUUGGAAGAUGACAUGGUUCAGAGCUUGAGAACAAGCCCUAUAUAUUCUAAGGACCGCACCUCAAUAGAUGAUUUUGAGAUAAUAAAACCAAUCAGUCGUGGGGCAUUUGGACGGGUCUUCUUGGCUAAAAAGAGAACAACAGGAGAUCUGUUUGCCAUCAAGGUUCUUAAAAAGGCUGACAUGAUUCGUAAGAAUGCUGUUGAAAGUAUACUUGCAGAACGGGAUAUUUUAAUUUCAGUUCGCAAUCCUUUUGUGGUUCGAUUCUUUUAUUCAUUUACUUGUCGUGAGAAUUUGUAUCUUGUGAUGGAGUAUUUGAAUGGAGGAGAUCUAUAUUCUUUGUUGAGAAAUUUGGGCUGCUUAGAUGAAGAUGUUGCUCGCAUAUACAUUGCUGAAGUUGUGCUUGCUUUGGAAUAUCUGCAUUCCCUCCGUGUGGUUCAUCGUGAUUUGAAGCCCGAUAAUCUGUUGAUUGCACAUGAUGGUCAUAUCAAGUUGACGGACUUUGGUCUUUCCAAGGUUGGUCUCAUCAACAGCACUGAUGAUCUAUCUGGUCCAGCAGUUAGUGGGACCUCUAUGCUUGGGGAUGAUGAACCACAACUAUCCACUUCUGAGCAUCA
RNAcentral lists this unclassified non-coding RNA (689 nucleotides) under Hevea brasiliensis (rubber tree). The record is from RNAcentral. Lineage: Eukaryota; Viridiplantae; Streptophyta; Magnoliopsida; Malpighiales; Euphorbiaceae.